UACGUAGGGUGCGAGCGUUGUCCGGAAUUAUUGGGCGUAAAGGGCUCGUAGGCGGUCUGUCGCGUCGGGAGUGAAAACUCAGGGCUUAACCCUGAGCCUGCUUCCGAUACGGGCAGACUAAAGGUAUGCAGGGGAGAACGGAAUUCCUGGUGUAGCGGUGAAAUGCGCAGAUAUCAGGAGGAACACCGGUGGCGAAGGCGGUUCUCUGGGCAUUACCUGACGCUGAGGAGCGAAAGUGUGGGGAGCGAACAGG
This 253-nucleotide ribosomal RNA is filed under the name uncultured bacterium. Its description in RNAcentral is "partial 16S ribosomal RNA". It matches the Rfam family "Bacterial small subunit ribosomal RNA", at positions 524 to 776 of the family's 1533-position model. The record is from RNAcentral.